Molecule: transfer RNA, 166 nt
Filed under: Candidatus Syntropharchaeum butanivorans
Lineage: Archaea; Methanobacteriati; Halobacteriota; Candidatus Syntropharchaeia; Candidatus Syntropharchaeales
Description: Candidatus Syntrophoarchaeum butanivorans tRNA
Rfam family: Small nucleolar RNA sR3 (bases 41-121)
Source: Rfam by way of RNAcentral
GGGGCUGUGGCCUAGUCAGGAAGGGCGACGGGCUCCAGCGGUAAUAUGAUGAACAACGGGUCUGCUGAAUCGAAAGAUCGGACGCGAUCUUUCGUUAUGAUGAUCCGUUGGAGCACUGAUGAUCGGAGAGACCCGUCGGUCGUGUGUUCGAAUCGCACCAGCCCCA